RNAcentral lists this unclassified non-coding RNA (408 nucleotides) under soil metagenome. RNAcentral's name for it is "partial contains 5.8S ribosomal RNA, internal transcribed spacer 2, and large subunit ribosomal RNA". The stretch from base 1 to 121 matches the Rfam family "5.8S ribosomal RNA", at positions 35 to 154 of the family's 154-position model. The record is from RNAcentral.
GAUGAAGAACGUAGCGAAAUGCGAUAAGUAGUGUGAAUUGCAGAAGUACCGUGAAUCAUCGAAUCUUUGAACGCAAAUUGCACUCUCUGGUAUUCCGGGGAGUAUGCCUGUUUGAGGGUCGCUUAACAAACCAUCGAUUUCGUUGCUUUUUUUUUUAAAGUGAUGUUUAUCGGAUUUGAGCCGUCUUUUUUUUUAUAUUUAAGUGGCUUAAAAUUGAUUUUUUUUGUACGAUCGAAGCGUAUUUUUAUGAUCAAUUUUUGGUUAAAGAAACGCACACGUACCGUUAUUUAUAUGAUGUAAUACGUUUGACUAUUGGAUUUAGUUCAUUCGUAUACGAUAUCUUUCAAUAUUUGACCUCAAAUCAGGUAAGAACACCCGCUGAACUUAAGCAUAUCAAUAAGCGGAGGA